This 491-nucleotide ribosomal RNA is filed under the name uncultured bacterium. Its description in RNAcentral is "bacterial SSU rRNA". It matches the Rfam family "Bacterial small subunit ribosomal RNA", at positions 28 to 531 of the family's 1533-position model. The record is from RNAcentral.
GACGAACGCUGGCGGCGUGCUUAACACAUGCAAGUCGAACGGUGACGAGGAGCUUGCUCCUCUGAUCAGUGGCGAACGGGUGAGUAACACGUGAGCAACCUGCCCCAGACUCUGGGAUAACAGUUGGAAACAGCUGCUAAUACCGGAUACGAGACGGAGAGGCAUCUCUACCGUCUGGAAAGUUUUUCGGUCUGGGAUGGACUCGCGGCCUAUCAGCUAGUUGGUGAGGUAAUGGCUCACCAAGGCGACGACGGGUAGCCGGCCUGAGAGGGCGACCGGCCACACUGGGACUGAGACACGGCCCAGACUCCUACGGGAGGCAGCAGUGGGGAAUAUUGCACAAUGGGCGAAAGCCUGAUGCAGCGACGCCGCGUGAGGGAUGACGGCCUCGGUUGGUAAACCUCUUCUAGCAGGAAGAAGCGAAGAGACGGUACCUGCAGAAGAAGCACCGGCUAACUAACGUGCCAGCAGCCGCGGUAAACGUACGAACG